RNAcentral lists this unclassified non-coding RNA (346 nucleotides) under soil metagenome. RNAcentral's name for it is "partial contains 5.8S ribosomal RNA, internal transcribed spacer 2, and large subunit ribosomal RNA". The stretch from base 1 to 120 matches the Rfam family "5.8S ribosomal RNA", at positions 35 to 154 of the family's 154-position model. The record is from RNAcentral.
GAUGAAGAACGCAGUGAAAUGCGAUAAGUAGUGUGAAUUGCAGAAUUCAGUGAAUCAUCGAAUCUUUGAACGCACAUUGCGCCCCUUGGUAUUCCAUGGGGCAUGCCUGUUCGAGCGUCAUUUGUACCCUCAAGCACGGCUUGUGUGUUGGGCCCCGUCCUCCGAUCCCGGGGGACGGGCCCGAAAGGCAGCGGCGGCACCGCGUCCGGUCCUCGAGCGUAUGGGGCUUUGUCACCCGCUCUGUAGGCCCGGCCGGCGCUUGCCGAUCAACCCAAAUUUUUAUCCAGGUUGACCUCGGAUCAGGUAGGGAUACCCGCUGAACUUAAGCAUAUCAAUAAGCGGAGGA